RNAcentral lists this ribosomal RNA (544 nucleotides) under uncultured Sphaerochaeta sp. RNAcentral describes it as "bacterial SSU rRNA". It matches the Rfam family "Bacterial small subunit ribosomal RNA", at positions 378 to 915 of the family's 1533-position model. Lineage: Bacteria; Pseudomonadati; Spirochaetota; Spirochaetia; Spirochaetales; Sphaerochaetaceae. The record is from RNAcentral.
ACGGCGCUACGGAGCGAUGCCGCGUGAACGAAGAAGGCCCUGCAGGUUGUAAAGUUCUUUUCGGGAGGGGGAACAACCGUGGCAGGGAAUGGCCGCGGGAUGACGUGAAUCCCGGAAUAAGCCCCGGCUAACUACGUGCCAGCAGCCGCGGUAACACGUAGGGGGCGAGCGUUGUUCGGAAUCAUUGGGCGUAAAGGGCGUGCAGGCGGUCCUGCAAGUCCGGCGUGAAAUACCCCGGCCCAACCGGGGGGACGCGCUGGAAACUGCAGGGCUUGAGUACAGGAGGGGAUGCCGGAAUUCCAGGUGUAGGGGUGAAAUCUGUAGAUAUCUGGAAGAACACCAAUGGCGAAGGCAGGCAUCUGGCCAUGUACUGACGCUGAUACGCGAAGGUGCGGGGAGCAAACAGGUUUAGAUACCCUGGUAGUCCGCACAGUAAACGAUGUGCACCAGGUGGCGGGGGGUCGACCCUCGGUACCGUAACUAACGCAUUAAGUGCACCGCCUGGGGAGUAUGCUCGCAAGGGUGAAACUCAAAGGAAUUGACG